This 253-nucleotide ribosomal RNA is filed under the name uncultured bacterium. Its description in RNAcentral is "partial 16S ribosomal RNA". It matches the Rfam family "Bacterial small subunit ribosomal RNA", at positions 524 to 776 of the family's 1533-position model. The record is from RNAcentral.
UACGUAGGGGGCAAGCGUUGUCCGGAAUCAUUGGGCGUAAAGAGCGUGUAGGCGGCCCGAUAAGUCCGCCGUGAAAGUCCAGGGCUCAACCCUGGAAUGUCGGUGGAUACUGUCGGGCUAGAGUCCGGAAGGGGCGAGUGGAAUUCCUGGUGUAGCGGUGAAAUGCGCAGAUAUCAGGAGGAACACCAAUGGCGAAGGCAGCUCGCUGGGACGGUACUGACGCUGAGACGCGAAAGCGUGGGGAGCAAACAGG